This 19-nucleotide non-coding RNA is filed under the name Arabidopsis thaliana (thale cress). The record is from RNAcentral. Lineage: Eukaryota; Viridiplantae; Streptophyta; Magnoliopsida; Brassicales; Brassicaceae.
CUAACGGCGUGCCUCGGCA